RNAcentral lists this ribosomal RNA (374 nucleotides) under Branchiura sowerbyi. RNAcentral's name for it is "partial 12S ribosomal RNA". It matches the Rfam family "Bacterial small subunit ribosomal RNA", at positions 875 to 1415 of the family's 1533-position model. The record is from RNAcentral. Lineage: Eukaryota; Metazoa; Annelida; Clitellata; Tubificida; Naididae.
UCAAGACAUAAACAUCAAGCCGGAUAAUACAAACACCUGUUUAAAAUCCAAAGACCUUGGCGGUGCUUCAUACACUCAGGGGAACCUGUCCCUUAAUUCGAUAAUCCACGAGUUCUUUUCCCUGUUUCGAAUUUUCAGCCUGUGUACUGCCGUCACAAGUAUGCCUCUGAGAGAUAGCAUACAGAAAUACCACCAUACAGACGUCAGGUCAAAGUGCAGCUAAUAAUAGGGCGGAGAUGGGUUACACUCUUUAACGAGAUCCAACAUUUGCUAAAAUAGCAAACCAAAGCUGGACUUGAUAGUAAUAAAUCCAUACAUUUAUGAACAAGAAUCUGAAGCAUGCACACAUCGCCCGUCACUCUCGUCAAAAGAUG